CUCAGAAGACGGGGCAGAUUCAGAACUGCAGGGACGUAAGUUCAGAGAGUGAACCAUUACAGAAUGGAGGAGAAAUUUCCCUACAGCGAGAAACUACAAUCAUUUAAGGAUUUAAAAAAAUCCUCCGUGUACUUACCAUCUAUCUUUGUUUCCGGCACCAAGUAACAGGCACUGACCAUUUGGGGAACGAUACCUUCUAUAAACAUGAGUCCCUUAUUUCCUUGGAAGAAGUAAACGAGGCCAUUUGGGGUGGCAACCCCUUCAACACUGCCACAUUUCCUUUGUUCAGGCAUCUGCCUCCUGACUUGCUUAUGUAUAAAGACCCCAGUGUAACUGAAAUAUAUGUCAUAAUAAAAAUAUCUUUAUUUGA
This is a long non-coding RNA of Mesocricetus auratus (golden hamster), 370 nucleotides long. RefSeq lists it as uncharacterized. The record is from RefSeq and is a predicted model, not a curated record. The transcript has 3 exons. NCBI's taxonomy places the organism in Eukaryota, Metazoa, Chordata, Mammalia, Rodentia, Cricetidae.